GGUUUCGAGUCUUUCUUCACUUCUGGCAUUACAGAAUGUUCCAGGCUUAUCUUGUACUUCCCUCUCCCAGCCCUGAAGUCAGCCAUUCCUCUAAGGAGCCCUGGCUGUCUUUAGCAGCGAACAGUACUGGAGACCAGGACCUGCCUGCUAGCGUGCACACUGUAACUUGGUCUCUGGAUUUAUCUACUAAUCCUUUUAAAUUGCUACUCUUCCUGAUGUUUGGUAGAACGACUGUGUAGCUAUGGCCAUACUGAAGGAUGUUGCCAUUGCUUCCAACUUAUUUCUACCCCAAGAAUGUCUCAGGGACUGCUCUGGGACACACUCCUUGGGCGCCUGUAGCUGACUAGAAGUGGAAUUUCUUGGUCAUGAGGUGGUGGGAUUAAAGAACACGCCACCACACCCAUCUUCACUGUUAUUUGAGCCUCCAGCCUGAUUCCCCUUGCCACAGCCUCCCAAGUACUGGGAUUAUAACCCUAUAUCACCAUGCUUGGCCUAGAUAUUUUUCUUAAAGAAGCCAUACCUACCCAGCUCACCAAAACUCUAUCCAGUGAGAGUAUAGCCUGCACAGGAAAGAACACAGAGAGCAAAAUGGUCCCAGAUGGAAACCCAGCACAACACAGGAGCAUGAUGCCAGCACUCCCCACAGACAGCAGUCUGCAAACGCUCAAGUCCCUUGUAUGAAAUGGCGUAGUAUUCAUUUAGAGCCUACAGCGUCCUCCCCUCUGCUCGCGACCUUCUUUGAAUGAGCUCUUCGUCCUAGUGCUGCGGAAAUGUCGUGGAAAUAGCCGUUCAGUGUCGACACUUGGUCAGUCUGCCAUUGGUUGAACCCACAGAUGCAGAACCUGCGCCUACUAAAGGCCAAUCAUAGAAGGGUGAGCCUGGAACAGAAAAACAGUAUUUUAGUAAGUGAAUGAAAGCAUAAACACUUGGGUGCAUGCUUUCUACACUAAGAAUGAUGUCCUACACACACAGCACUACCCUGACUGAGCUGUGUGCUCUGCUAUCAUUCCCACGGAUGCUUCUGUGGCUAAGAUUUAGGUUUUCCCAGGGAUUAGAAUUCAGGCCCAUUUUCCCAUUGCAUUUACCUGAUCUACCCCUGUAACCUCUCUUAUUAUACAACAGUCUGCCCAUUCCCCUCAUGGUAAGUGACCAGAGCAAUGAAGUUAUGCAAAGUCCCACAUUCUGAGGAUUUGAUUGUUCAUGAAAUUAAAAAACA
Long non-coding RNA from Peromyscus eremicus (cactus mouse), 1216 nucleotides. RefSeq lists it as uncharacterized. NCBI's taxonomy places the organism in Eukaryota, Metazoa, Chordata, Mammalia, Rodentia, Cricetidae. The transcript has 3 exons. The record is from RefSeq and is a predicted model, not a curated record.